AUACGUAGGUGGCAAGCGUUGUCCGGAUUUACUGGGCGUAAAGGAUGCGUAGGCGGAUACUUAAGUCAGAUGUGAAAAUCCCGGGCUUAACUUGGGAACUGCAUUUGAAACUGGGUAUCUAGAGUGCGGGAGAGGAAAGUGGAAUUCCUAGUGUAGCGGUGAAAUGCGUAGAGAUUAGGAAGAACACCAGUGGCGAAGGCGACUUUCUGGACCGUAACUGACGCUGAGGCAUGAAAGCGUGGGGAGC
This 247-nucleotide ribosomal RNA is filed under the name uncultured bacterium. RNAcentral's name for it is "partial 16S ribosomal RNA". It matches the Rfam family "Bacterial small subunit ribosomal RNA", at positions 523 to 769 of the family's 1533-position model. The record is from RNAcentral.